RNAcentral lists this RNase P RNA (416 nucleotides) under Crocinitomix sp. RNAcentral describes it as "RNase P RNA component class A". It matches the Rfam family "Bacterial RNase P class A". Rfam says of the family: Ribonuclease P (RNase P) is a ubiquitous endoribonuclease, found in archaea, bacteria and eukarya as well as chloroplasts and mitochondria. Lineage: Bacteria; Pseudomonadati; Bacteroidota; Flavobacteriia; Flavobacteriales; Crocinitomicaceae. The record is from RNAcentral.
UUAGUAAACCGUCUUGUCGCGCAGACAUUAAUUGUCUUCGAGGAAAGUCCGGGCAACAAAGAGCAUCAUACUUCCUAACUGGAAGGAUUCGCCUUAGGCGAAUACAGCUAGUGCCGCAGAAAAUAUACCGCCUCGGCCGCAAGGUCAGGGUAAGGGUGAAAAGGUGAGCCCUCCUUUGUGAGGGAUAAAGCCACUUCGGUGGAUGAAAGUAAGAGCUCACCGCGCUCAAGGCGACUUGGGUGGCAGGGUAAACCUUAUGAGUUGCAACAUCAUGUAAACCAAGGCUUGAAGCUUGCUCGGCUGAACUUGGAGGGUAGAUGGAUUGAACCCCAGAGUGAUUUGGGGUCUAGAUAAAUGGCAAGAUUUUCAGACGCAAGUCUGGAAAACAGGACCCGGCUUAUAGGUUUAUUAUUUUU